Molecule: ribosomal RNA, 774 nt
Filed under: uncultured bacterium
Lineage: Bacteria
Description: bacterial SSU rRNA
Rfam family: Bacterial small subunit ribosomal RNA
Source: RNAcentral
AGAGUUUGAUCAUGGCUCAGAAUGAACGUUGGCGGCGUGGAUUAGGCAUGCAAGUCGAGCGAGAACCUCCAGCAAUGGAGGGGAAAGCGGCGAAAGGGACAGUAACACGUGGACCAUCUGCCCUCAGGUCCGGGAUAGCUGCGGGAAACUGCAGGUAAUACCGGAUAAUGUCUCCGGACCAAAGGUGUGAUUCCUCCUGAGGAUGAGUCCGCGUCCUAUCAGCUAGUUGGUGAGGUAACGGCUCACCAAGGCAACGACGGGUAGCAGGUGUGAGAGCACGACCUGCGUCACUGGGACUGAGACACUGCCCAGACACCUACGGGUGGCUGCAGUCGAGGAUCUUCGGCAAUGGGCGCAAGCCUGACCGAGCGACGCCGCGUGUGGGAUGAAGGCCUUCGGGUUGUAAACCACUGUCAGUGGGGAGGAAGGUCCGGUGAAGAGCCGGAUUUGACCUAUCCGCAGAGGAAGUGUGGGCUAAGUCCGUGCCAGCAGCCGCGGUAAGACGGACCACACGAACGUUAUUCGGAAUUACUGGGCUUAAAGGGUGCGUAGGCUGUGCAGAAAGUUGGGUGUGAAAUCCCUCGGCUUAACCGAGGAAUUGCGCCCAAAACUACUGUGCUUGAGGAAGAUAGAGGUAAGCGGAACUUAGGGUGGAGCGGUGAAAUGCGUUGAUAUCCUAAGGAACACCGGUGGCGAAAGCGGCUUACUGGGUCUUUUCUGACGCUGAGGCACGAAAGCUAGGGUAGCGAACGGGAUUAGAUACCCUAGUAGUCC